This 468-nucleotide ribosomal RNA is filed under the name uncultured bacterium. RNAcentral describes it as "partial 16S ribosomal RNA". It matches the Rfam family "Bacterial small subunit ribosomal RNA", at positions 28 to 507 of the family's 1533-position model. The record is from RNAcentral.
GACGAACGCUGGCGGCGUGCUUAACACAUGCAAGUCGAACGGAAAGGCCCUGCUUUUGUGGGGUGCUCGAGUGGCGAACGGGUGAGUAACACGUGAGUAACCUGCCCUUGACUUUGGGAUAACUUCAGGAAACUGGGGCUAAUACCGGAUAGGAGCUCCUGCUGCAUGGUGGGGGUUGGAAAGUUUCGGCGGUUGGGGAUGGACUCGCGGCUUAUCAGCUUGUUGGUGGGGUAGUGGCUUACCAAGGCUUUGACGGGUAGCCGGCCUGAGAGGGUGACCGGCCACAUUGGGACUGAGAUACGGCCCAGACUCCUACGGGAGGCAGCAGUGGGGAAUAUUGCACAAUGGGCGGAAGCCUGAUGCAGCAACGCCGCGUGCGGGAUGACGGCCUUCGGGUUGUAAAACGCUUUCGCCUGUGACGAAGCGUGAGUGACGGCAAUGGGUAAAGAAGCACCGGCUAACUACGUG